This 495-nucleotide ribosomal RNA is filed under the name uncultured bacterium. RNAcentral's name for it is "partial 16S ribosomal RNA". It matches the Rfam family "Bacterial small subunit ribosomal RNA", at positions 28 to 507 of the family's 1533-position model. The record is from RNAcentral.
GACGAACGCUGGCGGCGUGCCUAAUACAUGCAAGUAGAACGCUGAAGGAGGAGCUUGCUUCUCUGGAUGAGUUGCGAACGGGUGAGUAACGCGUAGGUAACCUGCCUGGUAGCGGGGGAUAACUAUUGGAAACGAUAGCUAAUACCGCAUAAGAGUAGAUGUUGCAUGACAUUUGCUUAAAAGGUGCAAUUGCAUCACUACCAGAUGGACCUGCGUUGUAUUAGCUAGUUGGUGAGGUAACGGCUCACCAAGGCAACGAUACAUAGCCGACCUGAGAGGGGGAUCGGCCACACUGGGACUGAGACACGGCCCAGACUCCUACGGGAGGCAGCAGUAGGGAAUCUUCGGCAAUGGACGGAAGUCUGACCGAGCAACGCCGCGUGAGUGAAGAAGGUUUUCGGAUCGUAAAGCUCUGUUGUAAGAGAAGAACGAGUGUGAGAGUGGAAAGUUCACACUGUGACGGUAACUUACCAGAAAGGGACGGCUAACUACGUG